AGAAAUUUAGCUAGCUUGAAUAUGCGGCGGACCUCCCAGGGCCGCCAGGCCGGUGCCUUUCAGGCAAUUUCCACC
Molecule: transfer RNA, 75 nt
Filed under: Mesorhizobium huakuii
Lineage: Bacteria; Pseudomonadati; Pseudomonadota; Alphaproteobacteria; Hyphomicrobiales; Phyllobacteriaceae
Description: tRNA-Gly
Source: RNAcentral